GACGAACGCUGGCGGCGUGCUUAACACAUGCAAGUCGAACGAAAAGAGGGAAAGAGCUUGCUCUUUCCGGAAUUGAGUGGCAAACGGGUGAGUAACACGUAAACAACCUGCCUUCAGGAUGGGGACAACAGACGGAAACGACUGCUAAUACCGAAUAAGUUCCAAGGGCCGCAUGGCCCAUGGAAGAAAAGGUGGCCUCUACCUGUAAGCUAUCGCCUGAAGAGGGGUUUGCGUCUGAUUAGCUGGUUGGAGGGGUAACGGCCCACCAAGGCGACGAUCAGUAGCCGGGCUGAGAGGAUGAACGGCCACACUGGAACUGAGACACGGUCCAGACUCCUACGGGAGGCAGCAGUGGGGAAUCUUCCGCAAUGGGCGAAAGCCUGACGGAGCAACGCCGCGUGAGUGAUGACGGCCUUCGGGUUGUAAAACUCUGUGAUCCGGGACGAAAAGGCAGAGUGCGAAGAACAAACUGCAUUGACGGUACCGGAAAAGCAAGCCACGGCUAACUACGUG
RNAcentral lists this ribosomal RNA (513 nucleotides) under uncultured bacterium. RNAcentral describes it as "partial 16S ribosomal RNA". It matches the Rfam family "Bacterial small subunit ribosomal RNA", at positions 28 to 507 of the family's 1533-position model. The record is from RNAcentral.